AAGACUAUACUUUCAGGGAUCAUUUUUAUAGUUUGUUAGUAGGGAAGUUUUUCUAGACGUGUAGAGCAUCCAAAGUCAGGAGGAAGAGGCGUAGUGUUCUCUCCUGAGCGUGAAGUGGGGGUUUUUGGUGUUGCCAUUGAUGAUCGUUCUUCUCUCCACUUUGGAGAGUAAGAGGGAGAGGGCGUGGUCUGAGUGGU
Papio anubis (olive baboon) is the source of this 197-nucleotide small nucleolar RNA. Its record names the gene U3. It matches the Rfam family "Small nucleolar RNA U3". From Rfam's summary of the family: Small nucleolar RNAs (snoRNAs) are involved in the processing and modification of rRNA in the nucleolus. There are two main classes of snoRNAs: the box C/D class, and the box H/ACA class. U3 snoRNA is a member of the box C/D class. The record is from Ensembl. NCBI's taxonomy places the organism in Eukaryota, Metazoa, Chordata, Mammalia, Primates, Cercopithecidae.